GUUGAAUGAUUUUCUAUUAAUUAGUAGUACACAGCUAUUUUUAUCAAUUUAUGCUUAAACUGCCUUAUGAUUUCAAUGAAAUUUCUUAGCUUUUACUUGUUGAAUAAUUUUUUCAAUUGGGAAUCUUUUCAUAAUUCAAAAUAGUUCCUGAAAAUUAAUGCAUCCUUCAAUGUCUUCUACUUAAGCUGGGUGCAUUUAAAAUGCAACACAAUUCUUUGAAAGGAGACUAUGACAUUUGAGCAUAAAGCCUAUAAGAAAAAGAAAUGUCUUCCCUCCCCC
RNAcentral lists this long non-coding RNA (279 nucleotides) under Homo sapiens (human). RNAcentral describes it as "lncAB485.1". Lineage: Eukaryota; Metazoa; Chordata; Mammalia; Primates; Hominidae. The record is from RNAcentral.